AUUGAACGCUGGCGGAAUGCUUUACACAUGCAAGUCGAACGGCAGCACGGACUUCGGUCUGGUGGCGAGUGGCGAACGGGUGAGUAAUGUAUCGGAACGUGCCCAGUCGUGGGGGAUAACGUAGUGAAAAUUACGCUAAUACCGCAUACGAUCUAUGGAUGAAAGCGGGGGAUCGCAAGACCUCGCGCGAUUGGAGCGGCCGAUAUCAGAUUGGGUAGUUUGUGGGGUAAAGGCCCACCAAGCCAACGAUCUGUAUAUGGUCUGAGAGGACGGCCAACCAUACUAGAACUGAGACACGGUCCAGAAGCCUACGGGAGGCAGCAGUGGGGAAGAUUGGACAAUGGGCGAAAGCCUGAUACAGCCAUUCCGCGUGCAGGAUGAAGGCCCUCAGGUUGUAAACUGCUUAUGUACAGAACGAAAAGGUUUCUACUAAUACUAGGAGCUCAUGACGGUACUGUAAGAAUAAGCACCGGCUAACUACAUGCCAGCCGCCGCGGUAA
RNAcentral lists this ribosomal RNA (500 nucleotides) under uncultured bacterium. Its description in RNAcentral is "partial 16S ribosomal RNA". It matches the Rfam family "Bacterial small subunit ribosomal RNA", at positions 30 to 523 of the family's 1533-position model. The record is from RNAcentral.